UACGGCGGGGGCAAGCGUUGUUCGGAAUUACUGGGCGUAAAGGGCUCGUAGGCGGCCAACUAAGUCGGACGUGAAAUCCCCAGGCUCAACCUGGGAACUGCGUCCGAUACUGGAUGGCUUGAAUCCGGGAGAGGGAUGCAGAAUUCCAGGUGUAGCGGUGAAAUGCGUAGAUAUCUGGAGGAAUACCGGUGGCGAAGGCGGCAUCCUGGACCGGCAUUGACGCUGAGGAGCGAAAGCCAGGGGAGCAAACGGG
Molecule: ribosomal RNA, 253 nt
Filed under: uncultured bacterium
Lineage: Bacteria
Description: partial 16S ribosomal RNA
Rfam family: Bacterial small subunit ribosomal RNA
Source: RNAcentral